UACGUAGGGUCUGAGCGGUAAUCGGAAUUACUGGGCGUAAAGCGUGCGCAGGCGGUUUUGUAAGCCAGAUGUGAAAGCCCCGGGCUCAACCUGGGAACUGCAUUUGGGACUGCAAAGCUGGAGUACGGCAGAGGGAGGUGGAAUUCCACGUGUAGCAGUGAAAUGCGUAGAGAUGUGGAGGAACACCGAUGGCGAAGGCAGCCUCCUGGGCUAGUACUGACGCUCAUGCACGAAAGCGUGGGGAGCAAACAGG
RNAcentral lists this ribosomal RNA (253 nucleotides) under uncultured bacterium. RNAcentral's name for it is "partial 16S ribosomal RNA". It matches the Rfam family "Bacterial small subunit ribosomal RNA", at positions 524 to 776 of the family's 1533-position model. The record is from RNAcentral.